UGAAGAUGUGCAAGAAAGAAUAGAGAUGGUUACAUAGCAAGAUUUGCAAGAACUUGUGCAUGAAGCUAUUCGUGUGGAGCAGAAGCUGAAGCGUCGCCAAAAUCACAGCCAAACUUACACAUCAAGCACUUGGAGACGUUCAGUUCAGUGAGAAGUAGAUGGAAGCAUUGCUGUGGAUUUCCCCUCAGAAAACCAAAUGACUACAAAGGAAGCAAAUGCAUCAAAGGUUGAAUCUUCAAAUACUCCUGCCACUCGCAUUAUGUGGCACCCCGGCUCAGAGAAACCGGAAUGCCCCGUAUUCCAGCCCAGAGAUCUAAGUGAAGUCUUCUGGAAUACGACACUACUUAGCAUAGAACAAAUCAGCUCUCUAUUACAACACGAAUACAAAUACAAGGUUCCCGAAUUACAAUGAAUAACAUCGGCACGACGACACUACGCCAACCAUAGUUGCACUAUGCAAGCAGCAUAACAACUCGAGGCAGCGGAACCUCUACUCGCGGCGGAACAAUGAACCACGAUGAUGGACUCCAAUCCGCGGGGACUCUGGCUGGAACGUUUAUCCUAGCUCGCGAACACAGGAACCACACCAAAACAAGCAAGCAAUCUGGCACGACCUGCAAACUGGCAUGACACGCCAGGUCAGUACAUUGAAUGUACUUGCAAGCUCACAAUAACCUAAAGCAGUCAAGACAAACAACAACAUGGCAUUAGCAGGUUAAAACAAUCAUGAACAUGAUACUAACAGAACAACGUGGCAUGCACAAACUAAACAUGAUACAACUUUAGCAUAGCAUGAGCAUAUGAACAUGAUAAUACUACAUGCAACAGGUUAACAUGAUCAUGUACCAACUUACUCUUAUUCGGCGGUUACCUCGUAACCAUCUCAUGCAUCAACUUACCAACAUCGGUAUCCACGAUACCUCCGUGAUCAUCUCUCGCGAUCACAACCAAUCUCUUUCUUAUCAUCGAACCGGGGUUGUUAUUAAUCAAGUUAUUAUUAUUGUUGGCUCAUAGUUUGACCGACUAUGAACUGGGCCCAUAUCUGCGGGCGCGGCUAUCGAUAUAUUUAAAACGCACUCUACAGAUGUCGCGCACUUUACACACACCACGGAACCCAUGGCCUCGCACUCCCAUACGUGUGGACCAACGGCAUUCUGACAAAACCGAUCUACCGCCAUGACACUCUCCCGGCCACUCCGACCAACUCCCCUUUGGGCUAAGUCAUGGGUGGCCCCGUGCCUACCAAAGGCAUCAGCGGCCACCGUCGUGGCAAAACGGUCCCAAACGGGGAUAAGGUACCAUAACAACAACAACGGGCACACAAGGCUUAUGUCCGCCUACCGGACCAGGGUAGCGCGCGCCCAUAACCUUCCCUCAUUGGAGGCACUGAUGAGAGGCAUGACAAUAGACCCAGUUAGGUCCUUCCCAUAAAGGCAAAUGUGGUUGCACUGGUCAGCUCGAUUCAGUGGCACCAUGACUCAGCCAACAAUUGUUCAAGUUCAUUAUUAUCCAGUUAAACUUGAAUGCAAUAAGCUGAGUCAUAGUAAAAUAACAUGAUGCCACUAUAAUGCAUGAGCAUGAUAUCAACGUAAGCACGAAGGUGCAUCACAAUCAUCGAGCAUAACCACAAUGAAACAUUUAACCAAAUGAGCAUGGCAUACUGACGAGCAUAAGUAUAACACUACACAGGAGCAUGGCAUGACUACUAGCAUCAUGAAUAAAUAUCAUGCAAGAACAUAGUAGGAACACUACCAAGUAAGCAUGUAACCAACUGGGUGCAAAGUAGCAUGCAUAGCAAUGGUACUGAAUAACAGACUAAGCAUGCAUCCGAAGACCACCACUACUACCAGCAUGUAUUACUACUAACAAGCAUGACAUGUGAAAAUGGUACUAGCAAGUAGCACAAGAUAACACAAUGCAUCGGAACAUAGCAAGAAAGUGAACAUGCAUCCACGAGCAAAACCGAAACGACGACAGUAGUAGCAAACAAGCAGGGAGAUAAUGAGCAAACUUUUAUUAAAUAUUCAAGUAGAAACCAUGGCUACUGCAUGGCUAUCAUGCAAGUGGCUGUUGUGGCUUGCCUGGGGGUGACGGAGACUUCGAGAAGAAGUGCGGUGAAGCCGCGGAAACGAAACGCCAGACGGUUCUCUCUUGGAGGGGGGGCUGAUUAGAGGCAAGGGCAAAAUGGUCAUUUUCACUGUGGGACCACCUAGUGAAAAUGUUUCCGACAGAAAUAGCUCGACGAGACGAAGAAGUGAGCGUUGGUUUCACCUCAAUUGGAGUUACGGUCGUCGAGAUACGAAGGGUGGAAGUCUAGGGACUAAUAUGUGAAUAUUUUCAUCACCAACAAGUCCCUGGGAGGAAAGAGAGAACGCGCCUUCGAGCGUAAUACGUUUUCUGGAAAGGAAAGCGUACUUUAAACCGCAAUAGACACAGAAUACGCUUUAUGACUAAGAAAACGUAUUUCUGAAAACCGUCUCCGCUUAAACACGUGGACCAGGGGGUGAGGGGCUUACAGGGGGUCCCACGAGCUGGGAGAGGGGCCAGGCUCGGUCGUCUCCUUCCUCCCGCUCGCCUCUUCUCCCGUGAGACAGAGCAGAGGCAGGGGAGGGAAACGGCCAAGGGGGCCGGCCGGCUCAGGCGGCCUCCGGCCAAGCCGAGCCCACCGGCGGGUGAGGGGCGACGAGUCGCAUCCUUUCAGGGGAGAAAUCAGCUCCGGGGAAGGGUGGAGAGGAGGGGAGAGGCGGCGCCCGAGGAGUCCAGGGGCGGCGGGUGGUGGUGGUGCUCGACGAAGCAGGGCGCUCCGGCGAGGGAUGAUGGGGUGGGGCAGCUCUACGGGAGGUGGGGAGCACUCUGGUGAUGUCUGGGAGGCACGAGGAGGCUCGGGACGACCGGAUGGUGAGGUGCCCGAACGGUGAAGGCGGCGCCGGACUAGGGACUCGCGGCCAGAGGGGCUACGGCGACGAACUGGAGAGGUGGGCUGGCUCGCGAAGACUAGGGGGACUCGGUGGACAGCUUGGAACGGCGAGGGGGGGCUUUGUUUGGCCGGAAUCAAGCCGAGGCCGAGGCGGCCAUGGCGAUCUCCGGCGAAAAGAAGAGGGGGCCGAGGACUCCGGUGGGCUUGGAGCGAGGGUAAGAGGUG
This 3142-nucleotide long non-coding RNA is filed under the name Triticum aestivum (bread wheat). RNAcentral's name for it is "long non-coding RNA (TAES_LNC017814)". Lineage: Eukaryota; Viridiplantae; Streptophyta; Magnoliopsida; Poales; Poaceae. The record is from RNAcentral.